ACCGGAUGCGGAUCUCGAAAGCCUGUCCCAGUUCGGACUGGAGUCUGCAACCCGACUCCACGAAGUUGGAUUCGCUAGUAAUCGCGCAUCAGCCAUGGCGCGGUGAAUACGUUCCCGGGCCUUGUACACACCGCCCGUCAAGCCAUGGGGAGCCGGGGGCGCCUGAAGUCCGGGACCGCGAGGACCGGCCUAGGGCGAAACUGGUAACUGGGGCUAAGUCGUAACAAGGUACC
Molecule: ribosomal RNA, 233 nt
Filed under: uncultured bacterium
Lineage: Bacteria
Description: partial 16S ribosomal RNA
Rfam family: Bacterial small subunit ribosomal RNA
Source: RNAcentral